AUACCUACUGUCCCUCAAGAGAACACAAGAAGUGCUUUAAGAGGCGGCGGAAGGUGAUCGAAUUCCGGUGAUGCGAGUUGUUCUCCGUCUAUAAAUACGCCUCGCCCGAGCUGUGCGGUAGGCAUUGAGGCAGCCAGCGCAGGGGCUUCUGCUGAGGGGGCAGGCGGAGCUUGAGGAAACCGCAGAUAAGUUUUUUUCUCUUUGAAAGAUAGAGAUUAAUACAACUACUUAAAAAAUAUAGUCAAUAGGUUACUAAGAUAUUGCUUAGCGUUAAGUUUUUAACGUAAUUUUAAUAGCUUAAGAUUUUAAGAGAAAAUAUGAAGACUUAGAAGAGUAGCAUGAGGAAGGAAAAGAUAAAAGGUUUCUAAAACAUGACGGAGGUUGAGAUGAAGCUUCUUCAUGGAGUAAAAAAUGUAUUUAAAAGAAAAUUGAGAGAAAGGACUACAGAGCCCCGAAUUAAUACCAAUAGAAGGGCAAUGCUUUUAGAUUAAAAUGAAGGUGACUUAAACACCUAGUUAACGCAUUUACUAAACGCAGACGAAAAUGGAAAGAUUAAUUGGGAGUGGUAGGAUGAAACAAUUUGGAGAAGAUAGAAGUUUGAAGUGGAAAACUGGAAGACAGAAGUACGGGAAGGCGAAGAAAAGAAUAGAGAAGAUAGGGAAAUUAGAAGAUAAAAACAUACUUUUAGAAGAAAAAAGAUAAAUUUAAACCUGAAAAGUAGGAAGCAGAAGAAAAAAGACAAGCUAGGAAACAAAAAGCUAAGGGCAAAAUGUACAAACUUAGAAGAAAAUUGGAAGAUAGAAACAAGAUAGAAAAUGAAAAUAUUGUCAAGAGUUUCAGAUAGAAAAUGAAAAACAAGCUAAGACAAGUAUUGGAGAAGUAUAGAAGAUAGAAAAAUAUAAAGCCAAAAAUUGGAUAAAAUAGCACUGAAAAAAUGAGGAAAUUAUUGGUAACCAAUUUAUUUUAAAAGCCCAUCAAUUUAAUUUCUGGUGGUGCAGAAGUUAGAAGGUAAAGCUUGAGAAGAUGAGGGUGUUUACGUAGACCAGAACCAAUUUAGAAGAAUACUUGAAGCUAGAAGGGGAAGUUGGUUAAAAAUCACAUCAAAAAGCUACUAAAAGGACUGGUGUAAUUUAAAAAAAACUAAGGCAGAAGGCUUUUGGAAGAGUUAGAAGAAUUUGGAAGGCCUUAAAUAUAGUAGCUUAGUUUGAAAAAUGUGAAGGACUUUCGUAACGGAAGUAAUUCAAGAUCAAGAGUAAUUACCAACUUAAUGUUUUUGCAUUGGACUUUGAGUUAAGAUUAUUUUUUAAAUCCUGAGGACUAGCAUUAAUUGACAGCUGACCCAGGUGCUACACAGAAGUGGAUUCAGUGAAUCUAGGAAGACAGCAGCAGACAGGAUUCCAGGAACCAGUGUUUGAUGAAGCUAGGACUGAGGAGCAAGCGAGCAAGCAGCAGUUCGUGGUGAAGAUAGGAAAAGAGUCCAGGAGCCAGUGCGAUUUGGUGAAGGAAGCUAGGAAGAAGGAAGGAGCGCUAACGAUUUGGUGGUGAAGCUAGGAAAAAGGAUUCCAGGAAGGAGCGAGUGCAAUUUGGUGAUGAAGGUAGCAGGCGGCUUGGCUUGGCAACCACACGGAGGAGGCGAGCAGGCGUUGUGCGUAGAGGAUCCUAGACCAGCAUGCCAGUGUGCCAAGGCCACAGGGAAAGCGAGUGGUUGGUAAAAAUCCGUGAGGUCGGCAAUAUGUUGUUUUUCUGGAACUUACUUAUGGUAACCUUUUAUUUAUUUUCUAAUAUAAUGGGGGAGUUUCGUACUGAGGUGUAAAGGGAUUUAUAUGGGGACGUAGGCCGAUUUCCGGGUGUUGUAGGUUUCUCUUUUUCAGGCUUAUACUCAUGAAUCUUGUCUGAAGCUUUUGAGGGCAGACUGCCAAGUCCUGGAGAAAUAGUAGAUGGCAAGUUUGUGGGUUUUUUUUUUUUACACGAAUUUGAGGAAAACCAAAUGAAUUUGAUAGCCAAAUUGAGACAAUUUCAGCAAAUCUGUAAGCAGUUUGUAUGUUUAGUUGGGGUAAUGAAGUAUUUCAGUUUUGUGAAUAGAUGACCUGUUUUUACUUCCUCACCCUGAAUUCGUUUUGUAAAUGUAGAGUUUGGAUGUGUAACUGAGGCGGGGGGGAGUUUUCAGUAUUUUUUUUUGUGGGGGUGGGGGCAAAAUAUGUUUUCAGUUCUUUUUCCCUUAGGUCUGUCUAGAAUCCUAAAGGCAAAUGACUCAAGGUGUAACAGAAAACAAGAAAAUCCAAUAUCAGGAUAAUCAGACCACCACAGGUUUACAGUUUAUAGAAACUAGAGCAGUUCUCACGUUGAGGUCUGUGGAAGAGAUGUCCAUUGGAGAAAUGGCUGGUAGUUACUCUUUUUUCCCCCCACCCCCUUAAUCAGACUUUAAAAGUGCUUAACCCCUUAAACUUGUUAUUUUUUACUUGAAGCAUUUUGGGAUGGUCUUAACAGGGAAGAGAGAGGGUGGGGGAGAAAAUGUUUUUUUCUAAGAUUUUCCACAGAUGCUAUAGUACUAUUGACAAACUGGGUUAGAGAAGGAGUGUACCGCUGUGCUGUUGGCACGAACACCUUCAGGGACUGGAGCUGCUUUUAUCCUUGGAAGAGUAUUCCCAGUUGAAGCUGAAAAGUACAGCACAGUGCAGCUUUGGUUCAUAUUCAGUCAUCUCAGGAGAACUUCAGAAGAGCUUGAGUAGGCCAAAUGUUGAAGUUAAGUUUUCCAAUAAUGUGACUUCUUAAAAGUUUUAUUAAAGGGGAGGGGCAAAUAUUGGCAAUUAGUUGGCAGUGGCCUGUUACGGUUGGGAUUGGUGGGGUGGGUUUAGGUAAUUGUUUAGUUUAUGAUUGCAGAUAAACUCAUGCCAGAGAACUUAAAGUCUUAGAAUGGAAAAAGUAAAGAAAUAUCAACUUCCAAGUUGGCAAGUAACUCCCAAUGAUUUAGUUUUUUUCCCCCCAGUUUGAAUUGGGAAGCUGGGGGAAGUUAAAUAUGAGCCACUGGGUGUACCAGUGCAUUAAUUUGGGCAAGGAAAGUGUCAUAAUUUGAUACUGUAUCUGUUUUCCUUCAAAGUAUAGAGCUUUUGGGGAAGGAAAGUAUUGAACUGGGGGUUGGUCUGGCCUACUGGGCUGACAUUAACUACAAUUAUGGGAAAUGCAAAAGUUGUUUGGAUAUGGUAGUGUGUGGUUCUCUUUUGGAAUUUUUUUCAGGUGAUUUAAUAAUAAUUUAAAACUACUAUAGAAACUGCAGAGCAAAGGAAGUGGCUUAAUGAUCCUGAAGGGAUUUCUUCUGAUGGUAGCUUUUGUAUUAUCAAACUUUUUUCAGAUAACAUCUUCUGAGUCAUAACCAGCCUGGCAGUAUGAUGGCCUAGAUGCAGAGAAAACAGCUCCUUGGUGAAUUGAUAAAAAUACAAUGAAGAGGCAAUGUCCAUCUCAAAAUACUGCUUUUACAAAAGCAGAAUAAAAGCGAAAAGAAAUGAAAAUGUUACACUACAUUAAUCCUGGAAUAAAAGAAGCCGAAAUAAAUGAGAGAUGAGUUGGGAUCAAGUGGAUUGAGGAGGCUGUGCUGUGUGCCAAUGUUUCGUUUGCCUCAGACAGGUAUCUCUUCGUUAUCAGAAGAGUUGCUUCAUUUCAUCUGGGAGCAGAAAACAGCAGGCAGCUGUUAACAGAUAAGUUUAACUUGCAUCUGCAGUAUUGCAUGUUAGGGAUAAGUGCUUAUUUUUAAGAGCUGUGGAGUUCUUAAAUAUCAACCAUGGCACUUUCUCCUGACCCCUUCCCUAGGGGAUUUCAGGAUUGAGAAAUUUUUCCAUCGAGCCUUUUUAAAAUUGUAGGACUUGUUCCUGUGGGCUUCAGUGAUGGGAUAGUACACUUCACUCAGAGGCAUUUGCAUCUUUAAAUAAUUUCUUAAAAGCCUCUAAAGUGAUCAGUGCCUUGAUGCCAACUAAGGAAAUUUGUUUAGCAUUGAAUCUCUGAAGGCUCUAUGAAAGGAAUAGCAUGAUGUGCUGUUAGAAUCAGAUGUUACUGCUAAAAUUUACAUGUUGUGAUGUAAAUUGUGUAGAAAACCAUUAAAUCAUUCAAAAUAAUAAACUAUUUUUAUUAGAGAAUGUAUACUUUUAGAAAGCUGUCUCCUUAUUUAAAUAAAAUAGUGUUUGUCUGUAGUUCAGUGUUGGGGCAAUCUUGGGGGGGAUUCUUCUCUAAUCUUUCAGAAACUUUGUCUGCGAACACUCUUUAAUGGACCAGAUCAGGAUUUGAGCGGAAGAACGAAUGUAACUUUAAGAGGCAUUUCAUCCUUCAUGAAGCCAUUCAGGAUUUUGAAUUGCAUAUGAGUGCUUGGCUCUUCCUUCUGUUCUAACUUCACAGAGAAUGCAGUUGUCUUGACUUCAGGUCUGUCUGUUCUGUUGGCAAGUAAAUGCAGUACUGUUCUGAUCCCGCUGCUAUUAGAAUGCAUUGUGAAACGACUGGAGUAUGAUUAAAAGUUGUGUUCCCCAAUGCUUGGAGUAGUGAUUGUUGAAGGAAAAAAUCCAGCUGAGUGAUAAAGGCUGAGUGUUGAGGAAAUUUCUGCAGUUUUAAGCAGUCGUAUUUGUGAUUGAAGCUGAGUACAUUUUGCUGGUGUAUUUUUAGGUAAAAUGCUUUUUGUUCAUUUCUGGUGGUGGGAGGGGACUGAAGCCUUUAGUCUUUUCCAGAUGCAACCUUAAAAUCAGUGACAAGAAACAUUCCAAACAAGCAACAGUCUUCAAGAAAUUAAACUGGCAAGUGGAAAUGUUUAAACAGUUCAGUGAUCUUUAGUGCAUUGUUUAUGUGUGGGUUUCUCUCUCCCCUCCCUUGGUCUUAAUUCUUACAUGCAGGAACACUCAGCAGACACACGUAUGCGAAGGGCCAGAGAAGCCAGACCCAGUAAGAAAAAAUAGCCUAUUUACUUUAAAUAAACCAAACAUUCCAUUUUAAAUGUGGGGAUUGGGAACCACUAGUUCUUUCAGAUGGUAUUCUUCAGACUAUAGAAGGAGCUUCCAGUUGAAUUCACCAGUGGACAAAAUGAGGAAAACAGGUAAUAGCCUGCAGCUGGUGUUUUGAGAAGCCCUACUGCUGAAAACUUAACAAUUUUGUGUAAUAAAAAUGGAGAAGCUCUAAAUUGUUGUGGUUCUUUUGUGAAUAAAAAAAUCUUGAUUGGGGAAAAAAGAUGGGUGUUCUGUGGGCUUGUUCUGUUAAAUCUGUGGUCUAUAAACACAGCACCCAUAAUUACAGCAUAAUCUUCAAGUAGGGUACGGACUUUGGGGGAUUGGUGCGAGGGUAGUGGGUGAGUGGCCUACUAAAAAGCCCAGUAACCCCCACAGGAAAAUAGGGAACUUCUUUUUAAGUAGCCUCCUUUCCACUAUUUAGUAAUUGGCUGUGAGCUGGGCUGGGGGAGAAAUGGGGCGGGGUGUGUGUGUCAUUGGAAAGCUCUCUUUUUUGUUUUUUUGAGACAGUCUCACUUUGUCCCCCAGGCUGGAGUGUAGUGGCAUGAUCUCUGCAAACUGCAACCUCCACUUCUGGGGUCCAAGUGGUUGUCCUGCUUCACCCUCCCUGUAGCUGGGACUACAGGUGCACACCACCACGCCUGGCUAAUUUUUGUAUUUUCAGUUAGAGACGUGGUUUUACCAUAUUGGCCAGGCUGGUCUCAAACUCCUGACCUCGUGUGAUCCACCCGCCUGGGCCUCUGAAAGUGCUGGGAUUACAGGUGUGAGCCACCAAGCCUGGCCGAUCCUUUUAAGUUUUUAAACCAGUUAAGCUCUUUGGUUCCCCCUCAGAGUCCCAAGGUCCUGGGUCACUCAGGAUCACAUUUUCCUUUAAUCAGUUGUCACUGGUCCCCUUUUGUCCCUUUGAACGUGCUGUGGGAUUAGUAGCAGCAUCUGGCUGUUGGAAGGACUGGCUGGGAUCUCAGGUGAAAUACCCUCCCUGGCCCUCCUUACCCUUAAGAUCUCCCUGAAAAGUCAGACCUUGCUUAUUGGAGUUUGAGAUGCAUUCUAGUAAACCCAGACCUACCAGAGAGAGGGACCCACGUCUGAAGAAUCUUCCAGCCUGGGGAACCUGUGACUGGCCACACCCUUAGCCUAAUGGAGGGGCCUCAGAAGCAGAACUACCUUUUUUUUUUUUUUUAAUGGUAUUACAUUUUGCAAAUGGAGAGGUAGACUCUGAUUGGGCCCCUUUUGACAACGCAGCAGAGCUGAGGUUUGAAUCCUAGUCAGUCAACACUUCAACCCCUAUGUUGCUGUUUCUUCAAUGUCUAGAAUGUUCUGAUAGAUGAAGCAAUGGCCCGGCAGGUCAGCAGCACACCAACCCCCAACCUACCCAGCCUGUAUAGGCCUUGGCCACAGGAGCUUUCUCUUCCCUUGAAGUGAUCUAAUGGGGGAUGGGGUAUCUGUCUCGCUGGUUAUGAAAGAAGCUGAGCUAGGUGCUCUCCUAAGUUGCUUAAGUGUCUUCUGAAUUGAUGCCCAGUCAGUUUCGUAUGGAGAAAGGUCUCUGUUUUUCCAAAGCAGAAGGUUCUGUGGAAGCACAAAUACUUUACUGGAGAGCAAAGGAGUACGAGUAGGAAUUGGGGGCCACGCACAGUGGCUCACGCCUAUAAUCCCAGGACUUUGGGAGGCCGAGGUGGGCAGAUCACCUGAGGUCAGGAGUUCGAGACCAGCCUGACCAACAUGGAGAAACCCCAUCUCUACUAAAAAUACAAAAUUAGCCGGGCGUGGUGGCGUAUGUCUGUAACCCCAGCUAUUCGAGAGGCUGAGGUAGGAGAAUCGCUUGGACCCGGGAGGCGGAGGUUGCAGUGAGCUGAGAUUGCGCCACUGCACUCCAGCCUGGGCAACAAGAGCGAAACUGUCUCAAAAAAAAAAAAAAAAGAAGAAGAAAGGCUGGGCACGGUGGCUCAAGCCUGUAAUCCCAGCACUUUGGGAGGCCGAGGCGGGCGGAUCACGAAGUCAGGAGAUUGAAACCAUCCUGGCUAACACGGUGAAACCCCGUCUCUACUACACACACACACACACACACACACACACACACACACACACACACAAUUUGCUGGGCGUGGUGGAGGGCGCCUGUAGUCCUAGCUACUCGUGAGGCUGAGGCAGGAGAAUGGCGUGAACCUGGGAGGC
RNAcentral lists this long non-coding RNA (7148 nucleotides) under Homo sapiens (human). RNAcentral's name for it is "non-protein coding MALAT1:47". The stretch from base 3416 to 3509 matches the Rfam family "Metastasis associated lung adenocarcinoma transcript 1". The record is from RNAcentral. Lineage: Eukaryota; Metazoa; Chordata; Mammalia; Primates; Hominidae.